GCCUUUUGCUUUCAAACCCCUAGCCCUCGAGUCUAAGCGCAUAGGCACUCCUAAGAAACAUCUGUGGAUACAGGAUUUUUCAACUGCGCUUGACUUUAUUUACAACUCAUUUGAAUGUUUUUUCUGGGUAGUGGAAAUGAUUCUCAAAAAGAUGAAGAAAUUCAGUCUUCUAUAUGGCGAAUUUCUGCCUCAGAGAGUGAGAUUUGUUCAUUGCAAAGAGCAGCUGUUCCCUUAACCCUUAUCAAUGCUUAAGAUGGAAGAUGUUGCUUCUCAUUCCAUUAGAGUUGCCCAGGUACUUACAUCUCUGUUAGCUGACUUUCGGGAUAAAACCAAAAUAUUUGAUGACGCAUACCUCUCAGAUUAAAAAUGUAGGUUAGCAUUUGGGGCUAGUUUGCAACAUGUUUAAAGUCAUUAUUGGUGGAAGAGAAGCUGCUAAGCAAAUUCUAGCACUUGACUCCCGCUCAUCCCCAAAUCCACAAGUAUUUUCAUUUAGUUCGUCUGAAGUUUACCUGAGCAUCAAAGGCAAAAGGACUAGUUAUCUUUUAAUAAGUGAGUUUUCCAGGAGAUAAGUUUUUUUGUUUGUUUGUUUCAGACGGAGUCUUGCUCUGUCGCCCAGGCUCGAGUGCAGUGGCAUGAUCUUGGCUCACUGCAACCUCCGCCUCCCGGGUUCAAGCAAUUCUCCUGCCUCUGCCUCCUGAGUAGCUGGAAUUACAGGCGCACACCACCACGCCCGGCUAAUUUUUGUAUUUUUAGUAGAGACGGGGUUUCACCAUAUUGGCCAGGUUGGUCUCGAACUCCUGACCUCGUGAUCCGCCCGCCUCGGCCUCCUGAAGUGCUGGGAUUACAGGCAUGAGCCACUGUGCCUGGCCAGAAGUUUUAAACAUACAGUAUUUUAGUUUAUUUUCCUUUCUAUUUCUUUAUUUUCAAUUAACAAUAUUUAAUAUAAAAGUUACACGUUUAUUGUAGGAAGAUCAUACUGCCUCAUUUGAUAAGAGACUUCUGUCUUCUAACAGCUUCAUAUGUAUCCUAUUCUUCCCAAAUUGAAUGUAUUAUACAUAGAAGCAUAUUGUACUUCCUGUUUUUCAACCUGCUUUUUUUUUUCACUCAACAAUGUGCUAUAGCCAUCCUUUCAUGUCAGAUGUGUCUUUUAUCUACAAAUUUACCUUUGUCUCCAUAGUUUUCCGUAGUAUGACUUCACCAUCUUUUUUUUUUGAGGUGGAGUCUUGCUCUGUGCCCCAGGCUGGAGUGCAGUGUUGUGAUCUUGGCUCACUGCAACCUCCACCUCCCAGGUUCAAGGAAUUCUCCUGCCUCAGCCUCCCCAGUAGCUGGGACUACAGGUGCCCACCACCACGCCCGGCUAAUUUUUGUAUUUUUAGUAGAGAUAGGGUUUCACCAUAUUGGCCAGGCUGGUCUCAAACUCCUGACCUCAGGUGAUCUGCCCACCCUGGCCUCCCAAAGUGCUGGGAUUACGGGUGUGAGCCAAUGUGUCCAGCUUUCACCAUCUUUUCUAAAUGUUUCUAAACAUUUUUCUACUGAUAGACAUUCAGAUUGUCUUCAGUCUUUUGUAUUAAAAAUAAUGCUGUAAUCGACACCUGUGUACAUGGAUAAAACAUUCAAGUAUUUCUGAAUAUAAUCAUUUGAAAAGAGAGUACAAUGCUUAAACCCACAGAAAUGAACACUUUAAGUACCAGAUAAAACAGUGGGGACAAUGUUUAUUUAUAUAACAAUAUAUAUAAAAUUCUUCCUGUUGUAAGUGCCUUAAAAUUAUUAACUUUUAAUUUUCAUAACAACUCUGUGAGGUAAGUACUGUUAUCCCCAUUUAAUAGAUGACAAAACUGAGGUACAGUGAUUAACUAACUUGUCCAAGGUCACCCAGUAGAGUUAUCGACUACAGUAUUUGUGAACUUGAAAAAUAACAAUAAAAAUCAUAUUUUAGAAAGAUUAAUCUAGAUGAUGAUGAUGUGCAGAAGUAAGGAAGGCAGGCAGGAAUGGAGCUAAGGUUUGCAGUUUUAACUUUAACAGGAAGGGCUACACAGGACUGACUUUCUACCUGGGUUAAGGACAGAAUUUUUAAAGUCAGAGGUUUUAUCCUGGGUGACUGAUAGUGUGAUGGUUUCCCAUUGCCAGAUAUAGUGUGGUUGAGAAGGUUGAUUUGGGGUGAAAGAGGCUGAGUCUGAGCUGAUGGUGGGACACUCAGAAAUAAAGUGUACAAUUAAAGGUGAUAUGAGAAAUAUGGAAGAGAAAUGAAAAAGAAAGGGUGAGAAGUUUGAAGAAAAUCUUGCUGGGCUUUUGGUUAGAAUUGUGUUAUACCAGUAAGGUAAUUGGAAUAAGUUGAUACUUUAUUGAAACUUUAUAAUACUAAGACUUUCCCACCAAGAACAUGGUACAUUUUUUUCCAUUUAUCCAAAUGUUCAUUUAUGUCUUUCAGUAAAAUUUUAUGGUGUAGCUGCCUUCCUGUAUGUUUUUUACAUAACAUUUUAGGAUUGUAUUUAGGUAUUGUAUAUAUUCUGGGAAUGCUACGGGCUAAAUUGUGUUUCCCCCCACCGAAAUUCAUGCGUUGAAUCCUAAUCCCCAGUACCUCAAAAUGUGACUGUAUUUGGAGGUAGAAACUUUAAAAGGUGAUUAAGUUAAAAUGAGGUCAUUAGGGUGGGCCCUAAUCCAAUCUGACUGGUGUCUUUAUGAGAAGAGGAGAUUAGGCCACAUGGAGAAACCAGGGAUGCCUGCACACAGAGAAAAGACCUUUUGAGGAUGUAGUGAGAAGAUACCAUCUGCAAGGCAAGGAAAAGGGCCUCAGAAGAAACCAAACUCACAAGAAAGCCAACACCUUGAUCUUAGACUUCCAGCCUCCAGAAUUGUGAGAAAACACAUUUCUGUUUAAGCCACCCAAUCUGUGGUGUUUUGUGGUGGCAGCCCUAGCAAACUAAUACAGGUAGCUACUGUGAAUGGGAACUUCCCGUAUUAUAUAUUACAUCUCUAACCAGUUAUUUGUUUUGUAGGAAAUAUGAUGAUUUUGUAGUUUAUUUUCCUGGAUUUUCUGGAUGGAAAAAUGUUUUUAUCUGCAAAUGAUCACAGUUUUGCUGCCCACUUUCUAGUCAUUUUGCCUUUUGUUUUUUUUUCUUUUCUUUUUUUUUUUUUUUUUUGAGACAAGAGUCUCGCUCUGUCACCCAGGCUGGAGUGCAGUGGUGUGAUCUCGGCUCACUGCAACCUCCAUCUCCUGGGUUCAAGCGAUUCUUCUGCCUCAGCCUCCUGAGUAGCUGGGACUACAGGCACAUGCCACCAUGCCCGGCUAAUUUUUGUAUUUUUAGUAGAGAUGGGGUUUCACCAUGUUGGCCAGGAUGGUCUCGAUCUCCUGACCUCGUGAUCCACAUGCCUCGGCCUCACAAAGUGCUGGGAUUACAGGCAUGAGCCACCACUCCUGGCCUUUUAUUUCUUUUUAAAUCCUUGCUCAUAUAUCUUUGAGUAUAUCUGUGAAUAUUUCUAUCAGACAAAUUCAUAAAAGUUAUUACUAGUUUGUAAUGUUCCUUUUUCUAAAGAAUGGGCAUGCAGUUUUAUUAAAUAUCUUUUAGUGUCCAUUGAGAUGACCAUUUUUUUCCCUUUAUUCUGUUUUUUUAUAUGUAUUACAUUAGCCCAUCUCCAAUAUUAAACUAGCUUUGUGUUUCUGGGAUAAAAACUCCUUUGACAUUUGACGUGUGCUGACACUGACAUUCUUUGAGUAAAUAAAAUAAAAAACAGGAGUAUACCAGUGUACACCAACAUACCCUGCUGCUUUAUUCGGGUUACUGACUAUACUUUCUGUCUGAAAUUGUCUGCUGUGUCCUCAGUAGAUGACUCUAUUUAGUAACUACAAACCCUGAGUCAGGCUUUCAGAAUGCCCUUCUUUUUAUUUAUUAGUAGAGAUGAGAUCUUGCUAUGUUGCCAGCGCUGGUCUCGAACUCCUGGGCUCAAGUAAUCCUCUCUCCUCAGCCUCCCAAAGUGCUGGGAUUACAGGCAUGAGCCACUGUUCCUGGCCAGAGUGACCUUCUAAUGGUGCUUCCAUGGACCUCUCCUUUGCUCCUAUUUUCUUUCUCUUGCUUUUGGAGCUGCUCCUUUAGAGGUGAGACCACCCUUCAAGUGGGUGAAAUCAGCUGUGAGUCUCUCAUUGCUUCUGUGUACUUCCCACAGCCUAGUAAAUUUUCUCUUUGCUCCUCAAGCCCUGGAACAUUUGGGCCUCCACCCACCUGUCUUACUCUCUGCGGAGAGUCUUGCUUCAUAUUUAGAGUCAGAUUAAGACCAGUGGAAAUGAACUGCCUUACAUUUUCUCUGUUUCAGCAUAUCUUCCUCUGUCACCUAUUUUCUCCAGGUUUGGAUAAAAGGUAGUCUCUCCUGAUAAUUCUCAACACCUGAUGGACACCUAUUCCAGGAGAACACUCUGCAUCCUGAAGCUCAUUCUGUCCUAAAUGGAUCCCAUAUCUCCUCUCAACGCAGAGACAAAAACAAACAUUCCUUAGGCCUAGGACCAUCACUUCCCUUGUGUCUGUUCAUGGACCACAAUACCUUGCCUGCUUCAAUGGCUGCAAGUGUUUAUCAUCUCUGUCUUGUCUGGGCCCUGCAUACAAGUGACCUGCCCUCAUAUCCAACACUCCAGUUUAGACUCCAGUAACCUCUUACUGGUGGGUUCUAAUAACCUUUUAAUAACUUCCCUCUAUCUUGCCCCUUGCUUUAUAUUGAGAUCAUAUUCAUUGUUUCCCCUCCAUCUUGCUGCCUGGAUCAUGAAUGAUGUCUAUACCACAGGGACCAGGAUGCCAUCUAGGGACAAUGGAGCAAUGAGCUGGGAGGAACCUGGAUCCUGAACAUUGUGUGGAGUACAGCUGUCAUAAGGCUGAGGUUGCAUUGUGUGUGUGUGUGUGUGUGUGUGAGUGAGUGUGUGUGUGUGUGUGUUGUUUACUUUAACCUGAGCUUAUGAGAGCUCUGGGUAAUGUAAAUAGAAUAGCUCCUUUAGGAAGUGUCUUAGUCAUUUUGGGCUGCUAUAACAAAAAUGCUGUAUACUGGUGGCUUAAAUAACUAUUUAUCAUAAUUUUGGAGGCUGGGAAGUCCAAGAUCCAGACACUGGCAGAUCUGGCAUCAGGUGGGGGCCUGCUUCCUGGCUUAUAGACAGUUGCCUUCUUGCUGUAUCUUCACAUAGCUGAUGGAGAGAUCAUUUUGCUCUUAUGUCUUCUUAUAAGGGCACUCAUCCCAUUUGUGAAGGCUCCACCCUCAUGACCUGAUUACCUCCCCAAAGCACUACCUGCUAGUACCAUCACAUUGGGGAUUAGGCUUCAACCUAUACAUUUUAUGAGGAAAUGAACAAUCAGUCCAUAUCAGGGAGAAAUAAAUAUAUGUAACUAUAAUCACAAGUUAAGUAGUUAAAAUAAAAAAUAUCAAUAUCUUAUUCUGUGUGUGGCCCUGCCAAUUUACUAAAAGCUAUCAUAAAGGACACUGAUCAUAAAACUUAGCCAAUCAUUUUAGCCUGCACAAAUUCUAUACGGUAUUUGAAAUAAUCAACCAAACAAUAAUUCUUCAAACUUUGUUUCGUUUUGUUUUGUUUUGAGACAGUUUCGCUCUGUCGCCCAGGCUGGAGUGCAGUGGCACAAUCUCGGUUCACUGCAACCUCUGCCUCCCGGGUUCAAGCAGUUCUCUUGCCUCAGCCUCCCAAGUAACUGGUACUACAGUUUGUCCUCGGCUGUUACAGAGAAUUGAUACAAAAAAUGAUCAUGUGAAGAAUUUGCAUCUUCUGCAGAACUACCGGUAUCAGUCAGCAGUAGGAGAUUGCCAGACACGGUGGCUCACGCCUAUAAUCCUAGCACUUUGGGAGGCUGAGGUGUGUGGAUCACUUGAGCCCAGGAGUUCAAGACCAGCCUGAGCAACAUGGUGAAACCCCAUCUCUGCAAAAAAUACAAAAAUUAGCCAGGCGUGGUGGUGUGUACCUGUGGUCCCAGCUGCUGGGAAGGCUGAGGUGGGAGGAACAUUUGAGCCCAGAAGUUGAGCCGUGAUCACGCCACUGCACUCCAGCCUGGAUGACACAGCAAGACCUUGUCUCAAAAAAUAAAAUAAAAUAAAUUUUAAAAAAUCUUGGUUAU
This 6095-nucleotide long non-coding RNA is filed under the name Homo sapiens (human). RNAcentral describes it as "non-protein coding lnc-ALK-1:8". Lineage: Eukaryota; Metazoa; Chordata; Mammalia; Primates; Hominidae. The record is from RNAcentral.